RNAcentral lists this non-coding RNA (306 nucleotides) under Mesobacillus campisalis. Its description in RNAcentral is "Bacillus campisalis Bacterial large subunit ribosomal RNA". It matches the Rfam family "Bacterial large subunit ribosomal RNA", at positions 2240 to 2545 of the family's 2925-position model. The record is from Rfam by way of RNAcentral. Lineage: Bacteria; Bacillati; Bacillota; Bacilli; Caryophanales; Bacillaceae.
CGGGGCGGGAGACAGUGUCAGGCGGGCAGUUUGACUGGGGCGGUCGCCUCCUAAAAUGUAACGGAGGCGCCCAAAGGUUCCCUCAGAAUGGUUGGAAAUCAUUCGCAGAGUGUAAAGGCACAAGGGGGCUUGACUGCGAGACCUACAAGUCGAGCAGGGACGAAAGUCGGGCUUAGUGAUCCGGUGGUUCCGCAUGGAAGGGCCAUCGCUCAACGGAUAAAAGCUACCCCGGGGAUAACAGGCUUAUCUCCCCCAAGAGUCCACAUCGACGGGGAGGUUUGGCACCUCGAUGUCGGCUCAUCGCAU